Molecule: ribosomal RNA, 265 nt
Filed under: uncultured archaeon
Lineage: Archaea
Description: partial 16S ribosomal RNA
Rfam family: Archaeal small subunit ribosomal RNA
Source: RNAcentral
AGACGUCUACAUUAGAUACCCCCGGUAGUCCCAGCCGUAAACUAUGCGCGUUAGGUGUAUCGGUGACCACGAGUUACCGAGGUGCCGAAGGGAAACCGUGAAACGUGCCGCCUGGGAAGUACGGUCGCAAGGCUGAAACUUAAAGGAAUUGGCGGGGAGCACCACAACGGGUGGAGCCUGCGGUUUAAUUGGACUCAACGCCGGGAAGCUCACCGGAUAAGACAGCGGAAUGAUUGCCGGGCUGAAGACUCUGCAUGACUAGCUG